AGAUUGAACGCUGGCGGCAUGCCUUACACAUGCAAGUCGAACGGCAGCACGGGAGCAAUCCUGGUGGCGAGUGGCGAACGGGUGAGUAAUAUAUCGGAACGUGCCCAGUCGUGGGGGAUAACGCAGCGAAAGCUGUGCUAAUACCGCAUACGAUCUCUGGAUGAAAGGCGGGGACUCGACAAGACGCCUCGCGCGUAGUUGGACGCGGCCGAUA
Molecule: ribosomal RNA, 214 nt
Filed under: uncultured soil bacterium
Lineage: Bacteria
Description: partial 16S ribosomal RNA
Rfam family: Bacterial small subunit ribosomal RNA
Source: RNAcentral